This 442-nucleotide small RNA is filed under the name Histoplasma ohiense. RNAcentral describes it as "hypothetical lncRNA". Lineage: Eukaryota; Fungi; Ascomycota; Eurotiomycetes; Onygenales; Ajellomycetaceae. The record is from RNAcentral.
CUCUCUCUCUUUCUACACUGAUUUCUUUCUUUCUCUCACUCUUUGAGAAGCUCUGUAUAUCUUUCAUAAUCUCUCUCUCUAUUCUUCACACCUCUCUUCUGCUCUCACUGUCUCCAUCAAAAUGUGAUUUCAUAUGCAAGUAUUGUACAAUACAACUCAUUUCACUAGUUAUUUGUCUGUUGCAUUUCUUGCUUGAAGUAAGUAUGAAAUCUUUAGCAAUCUUACACAUUCUCUGAAUUCUGCUGUUGUUUGUACUGAUUGUGCUGAGUAUAUAUUAUACCUCUUCUUGUCUCUUUUCUAUGAUUUUCUUUCUAACUUUCAUAGGUGAAAUUGUACAGAGUCUCCACAUCAUUGAAAUUAUAACAGACAAGAAUUCUCAUGUUAUAUUUGCUUACACUGAUUUUUAUAUUGUCUCUCUGUUUUUGUGUACUUUCAGUCUGUC